GAUGAACGCUGGCGGCGUGCUUAACACAUGCAAGUCGAACGGGGAACUCGGAGCUUGCUCUGUGGGAUCAGUGGCGAACGGGUGAGUAACACGUGAGCAACCUGCCCCUGACUCUGGGAUAAGCGCUGGAAACGGCGUCUAAUACUGGAUAUGUGUCGUGACCGCAUGGUCUGCGUUUGGUAAGAUUUUUCGGUUGGGGAUGGGCUGGCGGCCUAUCCGCUUGUUGGUGAGGUAAUGGCUCACCAAGGCGGCGACGGGUAGCCGGCCUGAUAGGGUGACCUGCCACGCUGGGACUGAGACACGGCCCAGACUCCUACGCGAGGCAGCAGUGGGGAAUAUUGCACAAUGGGCGCAAGCCUGAUGCAGCAACGCCGCGUGAGGGAUGACAGCCUUCGGGUUGUAAACCUCUUUUAGCAGGGAAGAAGCGAAAGUGACGGUACCUGCAGAAAAAGCGCCGGCUAACUACGUG
RNAcentral lists this ribosomal RNA (469 nucleotides) under uncultured bacterium. RNAcentral describes it as "partial 16S ribosomal RNA". It matches the Rfam family "Bacterial small subunit ribosomal RNA", at positions 28 to 507 of the family's 1533-position model. The record is from RNAcentral.